AUGGGGUUGCAGCUCAGUGGUAGAACACGUGCCUAGCACGUAGGAGCCACUGGGUUCGAUACUCAGCACCACAUA
Molecule: transfer RNA, 75 nt
Filed under: Marmota monax (woodchuck)
Lineage: Eukaryota; Metazoa; Chordata; Mammalia; Rodentia; Sciuridae
Description: tRNA.Ala
Source: RNAcentral